CCUACGGGAGGCAGCAGUGGGGAAUCUUGCGCAAGUGGGCGAAAGCCUGACGCAGCCAUGCCGCGUGUAUGAUGAAGGUCUUAGGAUUGUAAAAUACUUUCACCGGUGAAGAUAAUGACUGUAGCCGGAGAAGAAGCCCCGGCUAACUUCGUGCCAGCAGCCGCGGUAAUACGAAGGGGCUAGCGUUGCUCGGAAUUACUGGGCGUAAAGGGAGCGUAGGCGGACAUUUAAGUCAGAGGUGAAAUCCCGGAGCUUAACUUCGGAACUGCCUUUGAUACUGGGUGUCUUGAGUGUGAGAGAGGUAUGUGGAACUCCGAGUGUAGAGGUGAAAUUCGUAGAUAUUCGGAAGAACACCAGUGGCGAAGGCGACAUACUGGCUCAUUACUGACGCUGAGGCUCGAAAGCGUGGGGAGCAAACAGGAUUAGAUACCCUGGUAGUCCACGCCGUAAACGAUGAUNUCUAGUGUCGGAGCUGUCUCUCGUGACGC
This 488-nucleotide ribosomal RNA is filed under the name uncultured bacterium. RNAcentral's name for it is "bacterial SSU rRNA". It matches the Rfam family "Bacterial small subunit ribosomal RNA", at positions 338 to 847 of the family's 1533-position model. The record is from RNAcentral.